RNAcentral lists this ribosomal RNA (108 nucleotides) under Aegilops tauschii subsp. strangulata. Lineage: Eukaryota; Viridiplantae; Streptophyta; Magnoliopsida; Poales; Poaceae. The record is from RNAcentral.
GGAUGCGAUCAUAGCAGCACUAAAGCACCGGAUCCCAUCUCAGAACUCCGAAGUUAAGCGUGCUUGGGUGAGAGUAGUACUAGGAUGGGUGACCUCGUGUUGCAUUCC